CAAUUCGACUCCAUGGCGAACGAAUUCAAUUCUACCUAUCCCUCAACUUCUAGUGGUAGACUGAAGAUAUACGUUCGUGGGGAAUGGGGGGCAGUGUGUGCUGACACUUUUGACCAAUCAGAUGCUGACGUUGCUUGUAGACAGAAUGGAGAUAGCAGGGCAUAUGAUUUUGGACCAGUUGGUGAUUUGGGGUACACGUCCAAUCCUAAUGCUCCAAUAUGGUUGCAAUGCUCUGAUGCAUCACCGUCCUUCUUCAUAUGUCCCAGUGACAAGCUUAAUAUGAGUGGGUGUGGUCAGCAAGUUUCUCUCUCCUGCUCCAAAUUCUUUCAACGGCCAAGGGAUAAUACGGCACAUGCAGUUGGUGUUACACUGGGCACUAUAGCAGCUUGUGUCAUCUUUGUGCUCAUCAUUGUGUCCAUCUCAUUCUGCAAACUGGAGUGGUGGUGUUGUCUUUGUCAACGAUAUUUCAAGUGGAGGAGAAACUACAAACAAUCGCUGAACAGAACUAGAGAAGAACUGGAAAACGAAAUAAUUAUCGAGCCUAAUUAUUGUGUGAAGCCCAAGAACCUCCAGCUCCGUAUUCACAACUGCCUUCACAACAAAUCGACAAUGUUGACGGAAAUCCAUCAGCAAAUCCGAAUUUUUUUGAAGAAGUAAUGUUGACGUAUGCGGAUAUACCACCACCUGACCCUCCGAGGCCUACACAAAGACUCACUAGGGAGGGCCCCCCCACUUAUAUAGACACUGUCACUAACUAAUAGCUUUUUCUAUUUUUAUACCAUAUACAUGCACGUAUAUACUUUUUGUCUCUAAUAUCUGAGAGUGUGUCAGCUGGAGCUGCAUGA
Molecule: long non-coding RNA, 845 nt
Organism: Halichondria panicea
Lineage: Eukaryota; Metazoa; Porifera; Demospongiae; Suberitida; Halichondriidae
Exons: 3
Source: RefSeq, a predicted model, not a curated record